This 335-nucleotide ribosomal RNA is filed under the name uncultured bacterium. RNAcentral describes it as "bacterial SSU rRNA". It matches the Rfam family "Bacterial small subunit ribosomal RNA", at positions 28 to 350 of the family's 1533-position model. The record is from RNAcentral.
GACGAACGCUGGCGGCGUGCUUAAAACAUGCAAGUCGAACGGAGUUAAUUGGAGUACUUGUACAAAGAUUAACUUAGUGGCGGACGGGUGAGUAACGCGUGAGCAAUCUGCCUAUCACAGGGGAAUAACGACUGGAAACGGGCGCUAAUACCGCAUAUGACCACAACCUGGCAUCAGGAACGGGGUGAAAGGGAGCAAUCCGGUGAUAGAUGAGCUUGCGUAUCAUUAGCUAGUUGGUGAGGUAACGGCCCACCAAGGCAACGAUGAUUAGCCGAUCUGAGAGGAUGAACGGCCACAUUGGAACUGAGAAACGGUCCAAACUCCUACGGGAGGCA